RNAcentral lists this long non-coding RNA (555 nucleotides) under Pongo abelii (Sumatran orangutan). Its description in RNAcentral is "lincRNA". Lineage: Eukaryota; Metazoa; Chordata; Mammalia; Primates; Hominidae. The record is from RNAcentral.
UUUUGGCAGGGGCCUUACAGGUGCGCGCUUCGGUCCGGGAGGCCUUAUCCUAGCCUCCUCUCCAUCAGCGCCACCCUCUGGGGCCCAACAGGAGGGAGCUUUCCCCCUGUUCCCAGCUUUGGACUGUUACCCAAGCAAGCCAUUCGUUCACAAAUAUUAUUAAGCACCUACGAUGUGCCUGGCAAGGGAGUUGUAACAAAAUUUCCUGUCUGCUCCGCUCUGGUUGAAGAAACCAGUCCGACUGUCUCUGAGGCUAUGGAGCAGUCCAUCAGGAAUGAAAGCCCUCGGCCAGGCACGUUGGCUCACACCUGUAAUACCAGCACUUUGGGAGGGCGAGGCAGGUGGAUUACUUGAAGUCAGGAGUUGGACACCAGCAUGGCCAACAUGGUGAAACCCUGUCUCUACAAAAAGUAAGAAACUCUGCUAUCCACAGGCAUGUAGAAGUUGCUGGUCCCAUCUUGCUCACAAUCCUCCAAAGUUUGAAAGUUAUUUUCCAGGAGACUUGGCUUGCACUGAGAGUUGCCCUCCCACCCCUCCUCCAAAUUUCCUCUUGGG